AGGUUUGUAGUAUAAUUUAAUAUAGGUGAUUGCAGAUCAUUUGAUUUUUGGCCUU
Molecule: transfer RNA, 55 nt
Filed under: Brugia timori
Lineage: Eukaryota; Metazoa; Nematoda; Chromadorea; Rhabditida; Onchocercidae
Description: tRNA-Cys
Source: RNAcentral